AACGAACGCUGGCGGCAUGCCUAACACAUGCAAGUCGAACGAGACCUUCGGGUCUAGUGGCGCACGGGUGCGUAACGCGUGGGAACCUGCCCUUAGGUUCGGAAUAACUCCCCGAAAGGGGUGCUAAUACCGGAUAAUGUCUUCGGACCAAAGAUUUAUCGCCUUUGGAUGGGCCCGCGUUGGAUUAGCUAGUUGGUAGGGUAAAAGCCUACCAAGGCGACGAUCCAUAGCUGGUCUGAGAGGAUGAUCAGCCACACUGGCACUGAGACACGGCCCAGACUCCUACGGGAGGCAGCAGUGGGGAAUAUUGGAGACGGGGCGAAAGCCUGAUCCAGCAAUGCCGCGUGAGUGAUGAAGGCCUUAGGGUUGUAAAGCUCUUUUACCCGGGAUGAUAAUGACAGUACCGGGAGAAUAAGCUCCGGCUAACUCCGUG
RNAcentral lists this ribosomal RNA (433 nucleotides) under uncultured bacterium. RNAcentral describes it as "partial 16S ribosomal RNA". It matches the Rfam family "Bacterial small subunit ribosomal RNA", at positions 29 to 507 of the family's 1533-position model. The record is from RNAcentral.